This 408-nucleotide ribosomal RNA is filed under the name Triticum aestivum (bread wheat). RNAcentral describes it as "partial small subunit ribosomal RNA". Lineage: Eukaryota; Viridiplantae; Streptophyta; Magnoliopsida; Poales; Poaceae. The record is from RNAcentral.
AUGAAGAAGCUUAGAAGUUCCCAGCAGCAAGUACACAAUCCAAAGCCUGUACGCGUUGCACCACCCCCUCAAUGGGUCACACCUCAAAUGCACCAACAACAUUACCAACCUGCUCCAGACCAAAAAUGGAUGACACCCGAAACACACGGAUACUUCCAAGAUGAUGGGUCACAGCCCUAUCCGCACAGGUUUGCGCCUCCACCUAAUUGGGUGACGCCGGAAAUCCCCCGCGGAUUCUUUGUAUCCACCAGCAGACUCCCAAGCACGCCGAUGGAGGAGGGGGUUAGCUCAAGUCCUGCGUGUAACUCUGGAGGUUAUCCUGGUGUGCCUCAUCAAUGCCAAAGCGAAGCAACUAAACCGGAUCCCAGGACAAAUCCAACAGCAACACACACACACGGAGGAGAGUGA